Molecule: ribosomal RNA, 507 nt
Filed under: uncultured bacterium
Lineage: Bacteria
Description: partial 16S ribosomal RNA
Rfam family: Bacterial small subunit ribosomal RNA
Source: RNAcentral
GACGAACGCUGGCGGCGUGCCUAAUACAUGCAAGUCGAACGCAUUUUCUUUCACCGUAGCUUGCUACACCGAAAGAAAAUGAGUGGCGAACGGGUGAGUAACACGUGGGUAACCUGCCCAUCAGCGGGGGAUAACACUUGGAAACAGGUGCUAAUACCGCAUAAUUCCAUUUACCGCAUGGUAGAUGGGUGAAAGGCGCUUUUGCGUCACUGAUGGAUGGACCCGCGGUGCAUUAGCUAGUUGGUGGGGUAACGGCCUACCAAGGCUGCGAUGCAUAGCCGACCUGGGAGGGUGAUCGGCCACACUGGGACUGAGACACGGCCCAGACUCCUACGGGAGGCAGCAGUAGGGAAUCUUCGGCAAUGGACGCAAGUCUGACCGAGCAACGCCGCGUGAGUGAAGAAGGUUUUCGGAUCGUAAAACUCUGUUGUUAGAGAAGAACAAGGAUGAGAGUGGAAAGUUCAUCCCUUGACGGUAUCUAACCAGAAAGCCACGGCUAACUACGUG